Molecule: long non-coding RNA, 1161 nt
Organism: Lynx canadensis (Canada lynx)
Lineage: Eukaryota; Metazoa; Chordata; Mammalia; Carnivora; Felidae
Exons: 3
Source: RefSeq, a predicted model, not a curated record
UGUCAGGUGGUUACCUGCAUCAGCAUUUUACAAACAAGCACCAGAGAAAGAGGAGUGUCUGGGAACAGUCUGCAGCUGCUGUCUGAAAUAUCUUCAUGGGCAUUAAUGCUUCUCUCAGCUCUUCUGCAACCAUCAUCAAAAUGACUCUUGGUAGUACACGUAUGUUUUAAAAUCAGAAAACAUCAAACAAUCAGUUAAAGAAGUUAAAUUUGAAAAAAAAAAGGAUAAUACUGCCUGGCUUCUGAUUUCCUGACCCCUCUUGAAAAACUAAUAAAAUUGUAAGAGAGGACUAUAAAUAAGAAUAAGCUUGUAAAAAUGAAGAGAGUGGAAGAGAAGACAAUAGCAGAGAAAAGACAUCAACAAAAUUUUAGGAGAUGAAAAGCAGAUGUCUCAGUGAUAUCUGACCAGGAGAGUGCUGAAAUCUAAAACUUGAGUGCCUGCAGCUGGGGAAGCCAGCAAGAAGGAAGCCAGUUCAUGUUGCAGAAUUCCCGAAAGACUCAGCAAUUACAGGUGAGUGCUGAUGACACUAAAAAUGGGAGGAUUGGUUGGAAGUGUUCCAGAUCUCCUUUUAACCCCAAACACAAGAAGUUGCCCUUGCCCAUCUGUGAGAAGACUGGGGAUGAAACAGAGACUCUGGACUUGGGACAUUGGAUGAAAACAAGGGAAUUAAGAGAAAGGUUGUGUUACGAAGAGUGAGAUCUCAGCUGUACCUUUUCACUUAGCUCCCAGAAUGUUAUCACCUCAGCUUAUACCUAAGCAAGAAAUUGGCAAGUUCCUCUCUAGGGAAACAGAAAAAGCUGGAUACUGACAUUUGGGGUUCCUCCCAUGAAGUGUCUAGGUCGCAGCCGGAUCACACUCUGAUGAGGCCUAGCAGUUGGUAAUCACUACCCAAGUAUAAAGAACUUUCAUUCAGUUGAAUAUACCUCAUUCUUAAAUGUAACCAGGCAGCUAUGGAUCUGUAUAUAUUUCUAGAAAGCCUCUAACAUGAAAGAGAGCAAAAUGAACCAAUAGAAAAAACAUACACCAAAAGAUGAUUGCAGGAAGCAAAUAACACAUAACAAAUGUUCUAGCUUUGACUCCCACAAAAAAAUACAUUGCAUUUACAAAGAUUAAAAAGCUAUGAAAUAAAACUUUUUGAAGACAAAAAAGAACUUUUUUAUA